Molecule: ribosomal RNA, 385 nt
Filed under: uncultured eukaryote
Lineage: Eukaryota
Description: SSU rRNA
Rfam family: Eukaryotic small subunit ribosomal RNA
Source: RNAcentral
AGCUCCAAUAGCGUAUAUUAAAGUUGUUGCAGUUAAAAAGCUCGUAGUUGGAUUUCUAGCAGACGCGUCUGGUCUGCUCCGCGAGGAGUCGGUACUGAGUCGUCGUUUGUUAUCCUUGAGGAGAAUAUUCCUGGCAUUGAGUUGUCGGGAGUAGUAUCCUCAUCGUUUACUGUGAAAAAUUAGAGUGUUCAAAGCAAGCUUAGGCUCUGAAUAUAUUAGCAUGGAAUAAUAAGAUAAGACCUUGGUGGUUUAUUUUGUUGGUUUGCACGCCGAGGUAAUGAUUAAUAGGGAUAGUUGGGGGUAUUCGUAUUCAAUUGUCAGAGGUGAAAUUCUUGGAUUUAUGGAAGACGAACUACUGCGAAAGCAUUUACCAAGGAUGUUUUCA